GUACAUGCUUCUAAGUAAGUACGAGUCAAACACCCGGGACUAGAUUGUGGCCCUCCCUCCACACAGAACCUCCACCUGUUUUAACCAUUACUCCCCACUUUCUUUUUUCCCGUCAACUGAAAAAAUGUGGUAAAAUACACAUAACACACGAUUGACAUCUUAGCCAUUUUUAAGCACACGGUGCAGUGACAUCACCACGUGGUGCACGGCGUCCCCCCACCCAUCUCUGGAACCUUCCCACCUUUCCCAACUGGCGCACUGGGCCCAGGAAACACGCACGCCCCCCGCCAGGCCCGAUGCCCACCAUCCACUCCGUCCCCAUGAAUGUGACAUUAGGCCCUCGUGUGAGUGGACUCGGGCAGGGUCUGUCCCUGCGCCUGGCCGGUCCCACUGCGCAGGACGUCGUCGGGUCCACCCAGGUGGUGGCAGGUGUCAGACGCCUCCCUGGGGCUGGGUUGUCCACCCUCUGCUGACGGACACCUGCUCCGUGUCCUGCUCACCGUGAGCGAUGCUGCGGUCGACCGCGUGUGACACACCGCCUCACGUUCUUGGGGACGUGUGCCCGGAAGCGGAGCAGCUGGAUCCCCACUUCCCUUUAGCGGCUCCCGAAAUAAGUGCCGCCCGCCUGACCUCCCUCCAAGGAGAACCGCUUCGCCCGCGAGUCUGGGACGGACUCCUUCCCCGAGCACUGUCUGAGGUCCCUUCCCGCGGGCGGGGGGGCGGGGGCGGGUGACGAGGCAGCAGGAGCCGGGAGGGCGGGGGUUCUUCACCGGUUUCUGUGGGUUUGCUUAAUCCCACGCCAUUCUCCAUUCGCAGGCUUCCGAGGAAGGCGGAGGGGAGAGAAGGGGGAGGGGGUCUCAGCCCACGUCCCGCCCCCAGGAAGACACCUGACCCGUCUCCAAGUUGCCGGCCCGUGGCGAGAGGGGCCUUUGUGCGCGUGAAGGCGGCUGCCUGGGACCCGGAGCCCUGAGCCACCCCGGCUGCGCCGCCUCCCUGCGCCCUUCACGCCCAGCCGAGGAGCUCGCAAAUAAAUCCACAGACACAAAAUCUUGUGUGCCGGGGAGAGACUGCGGCGUGGGCAGCGGCGGAGAGCAGGUGCGGGGCGCAGCGAGGCUGGGCGCGGGGAGGCUGGGCCCGCGCCCGCCCAACGGGAGCACAAACCCGCGCCGGGGCCUGGCAGCAGUAAGUUGACUUGCCCAGACCUUCGGAGGCUGCAGGCCCUUCAGAAGGGGGAAGCCGGGCGGGCAGGGUGGAGGUGGGGCGGGCUCCACCCCACACCCGGGGCCGCCCUUCCUCCCAGGGGGCCAGGGUGACGGGUCGCUGGGUACCGGGAACGAAGGGCUGAGCCUCGGUGCUCAGGUCUGAAAU
RNAcentral lists this long non-coding RNA (1368 nucleotides) under Canis lupus familiaris (dog). RNAcentral's name for it is "lncRNA (ENSCAFG00000045705.2)". Lineage: Eukaryota; Metazoa; Chordata; Mammalia; Carnivora; Canidae. The record is from RNAcentral.